RNAcentral lists this ribosomal RNA (482 nucleotides) under uncultured bacterium. Its description in RNAcentral is "partial 16S ribosomal RNA". It matches the Rfam family "Bacterial small subunit ribosomal RNA", at positions 30 to 507 of the family's 1533-position model. The record is from RNAcentral.
AUUGAGCGCUGGCGGCAUGCUUUACACAUGCCAGUCGAACGGUAACAGGCCGCAAGGUGCUGACGAGUGGCGCACGGGUGAGUAAUGCAUCGGAACGUGCCCAGUCGUGGGGGAUAACUACUCGAAAGAGUAGCUAAUACCGCAUACGAUCUAUGGAUGAAAGCGGGGGACCGUAAGGCCUCGCGCGAUUGGAGCGGCCGAUGUCAGAUUAGGUAGUUGGUGGGGUAAAGGCUCACCAAGCCAACGAUCUGUAGCUGGUCUGAGAGGACGACCAGCCACACUGGGACUGAGACACGGCCCAGACUCCUACGGGAGGCAGCAGUGGGGAAUUUUGGACAAUGGGCGCAAGCCUGAUCCAGCAAUGCCGCGUGCAGGAAGAAGGCCUUCGGGUUGUAAACUGCUUUUGUACGGAACGAAACGGCUCUGGUUAAUACCCGGGGCUAAUGACGGUACCGUAAGAAUAAGCACCGGCUAACUACGUG